RNAcentral lists this ribosomal RNA (497 nucleotides) under uncultured bacterium. Its description in RNAcentral is "partial 16S ribosomal RNA". It matches the Rfam family "Bacterial small subunit ribosomal RNA", at positions 28 to 507 of the family's 1533-position model. The record is from RNAcentral.
GAUGAACGCUGGCGGCGUGCCUAAUACAUGCAAGUCGAGCGAACGGACGAGAAGCUUGCUUUUCUGAUGUUAGCGGCGGACGGGUGAGUAACACGUGGAUAACCUACCUAUAAGACUUGGAUAACUUCGGGAAACCGGAGCGAAUACCGGAUAAUAUUUUGAACCGCAUGGUUCAAAAGUGAAAGACGGUCUUGCUGUCACUUAUAGAUUGAUCCGCGCUGCAUUAGCUAGUUGGUAAGGUAACGGCUUACCAAGGCAACGAUGCAUAGCCGACCUGAGAGGGUGAUCGGCCACACUGGAACUGAGACACGGUCCAGACUCCUACGGGAGGCAGCAGUAGGGAAUCUUCCGCAAUGGGCGAAAGCCUGACGGAGCAACGCCGCGUGAGUGAUGAAGGUCUUCGGAUCGUAAAACUCUGUUAUUAGGGAAGAACAUAUGUGUAAGUAACUGUGCACAUCUUGACGGUACCUAAUCAGAAAGCCACGGCUAACUACGUG